CCUCACGGAACCCUAAAAGCUGGCUAAGGGGCCAUUCUCCUCGCCACCUGGGCCUGCGUCUGCCGAAUCGCUUCCUAAGGACUUUGACUAGAAACCAAAGGUCCCAUUUUUCAUCUGCCAUUUAUUUAUCAUUGCAUAACUUAGUGAAAGCAUAUUGACUUUCCUGACUUCUUAUGACCACAUUUGAGGAAAGGAGUAAGCACUGGAAUCACCAACACAGCAUGCUUACGGAGGGUGGUCACCAGCUUCAUCAGCCUCCCAAUUCCACGGAGCCCCUUGAAAAUCCAGGAGCGCAGACUGGCAACAGUAGAGAUUUAAUAGUGGAGCCUUCUAAGGAUGGAUCAAACAAUGUCAGUUCUUUGGGACUGAGGCUUUGAAUGAGCUCCAGCUCUGUUCUGAUCCUUUAAUACUGGAAUGCAGUUGUUAUUUUUCUAGGCUAUUGCUGAGCUGAAGAGUGGGAGAUGGGCCUAAGGAGUUUACUGGAGGUUAUACUCCAGUCAAAGAAGAUGGAAACCAAGAAAGGACACAUUUUGGAGAUUAGCACUGGCUCCAGGAACCCAGUGAACAGAAGACUCAGGCUGAAGGCUUGUGCAUUCAGCCCAGAGAAAAUCCACUUAAAUUCAGAACAAUUAAGGACUCUGGGGAAGAAGGACUUCACAUGGUAGUGUGAUUGGAAGGCAGAUAAAUUUUAGGACACAAUGGAAGUUCCUAAGAUUUUUUAUCCUUUUCCAAUAGGAAGGAUAAAAAAAUCAUCUAAAACUAGAGGAAAAAUCAUCUAAAACAAGGUAUAAAGAAAUGGCUCACGUGUGACCCUUAUUUUACUGUGACAUGGAGCAUUUGAUGAAGGAUGUGGGAAGGGAGCCUGCUUAACUAUGAAGUGAGUAGCAUCGCCCCAGGAGCACCAUGACAGAUGCACAGGACAUGGAGGGAAGGAAAUGGCAUCCUGGCACAGCCCUGGCUCUACAUUGAGCAAUGUAGACAAAAUCAUAAAGGCUGCUCUAGUUUUCUACUUUUAGAAUCAACCUACAGACAUGUAAGACUUAAUUGUAGUUGUAGAAUAAAAGAUAAAAGAUUAUUGGCUUUCAUAACAAUAAAGUCCUAACAAUGA
This is a long non-coding RNA of Homo sapiens (human), 1108 nucleotides long. Ensembl annotates it as long intergenic non-protein coding RNA 327. NCBI's taxonomy places the organism in Eukaryota, Metazoa, Chordata, Mammalia, Primates, Hominidae. The record is from Ensembl.